Molecule: long non-coding RNA, 140 nt
Organism: Pygoscelis adeliae (Adelie penguin)
Lineage: Eukaryota; Metazoa; Chordata; Aves; Sphenisciformes; Spheniscidae
Exons: 2
Source: RefSeq, a predicted model, not a curated record
AUGCGUUGCGGUGCUCGAAUACCUCCUUCCCACUUCAGGAGCCCAGCUGUGUUCAAAGUGGAUAUAAGAUAAGUAACAUGCAAAGAGCAAAGGCAUUUAACUGCAAACUUCUAAAGACCAACGAGUAAAACACACCAGUG